Panthera uncia (snow leopard) is the source of this 3424-nucleotide long non-coding RNA. RefSeq lists it as uncharacterized. The transcript is spliced from 4 exons. The record is from RefSeq and is a predicted model, not a curated record. NCBI's taxonomy places the organism in Eukaryota, Metazoa, Chordata, Mammalia, Carnivora, Felidae.
GGAGUAGAGAGGGAGAGACAGAGUCCUGUCUACACACUUACGGGCCAUUUAGCGUGCAAAUAUCCAAGCUUCCUUUCCUAGAAAAUGGUGAUCUCGACUUGGAAGCGUCGGUUCCUCUUUUAGGCCUGAUGUGAGAGCCAAAAAGAGGUUUCUACAAUGCAGACUAGACUCAGGAGACAAAACGCAUCUUUCAGCAGAUGUUUCAUUAAGUUCUGAUUUAGCCUGAUUAAAAUCUAUAUUGACCGAGGCUAAGGAAGUUGUUGUUUUAUGCCAGUGCCUAGAGAAUGAUUUAAAUUCCAGAAGAGCUUGGAUGAUGGGGAAUGGUUUUACGUGUGAUUUAAAUUUCCUCUCUUUCUUUGUCAUUUUUUCCAACUGCGUUAUUUUUUCAGGCUUUCGGCAAAGAACAUCUAUGGCUUGUAUGAUAAUACAAAUUGGAAAGUUACGAAAGAAAUACGUCUCCUGUCUCACUAACACGCAGGCGUGAAAAGCCAGUUUGAAAGGGGGAGUCACCACCGUGUUCGGGGUGAUUUGCAGAGGAGUGGACCUGGAGGAAAGCAUCUGGGCUUUAACCCGAUUGCCACCAGGUGACUUCUAAAUACCUAGCACUGAGGCAGAUGCCAUAAGAGUCCUGGAUCAAUCACUUGCAAGCUCUUAAAGAUAAGCUACCGAACUUCUCCGAGCCUCAAAUGGUAAUCUCUACACCCAACAUGGGGCUCGAACUCAUGACCCCAAGAUCGGGAGUUGCACGCUCCACUGACCGAGCCAGCCGCAUGCCCCUGAUUAAGGUCAUGUCGAUACUUUUCAGUGACGUCUGUCAUCCUAAUCCUGGAGGGCUGGUCAUUGCCCCGCAGAAACUCCCAUGUUCUUUUCUCGGACAUCAUGGAGUUCAAGGGCACAUGAAGGACCAUGUCGGUCUAGAAAGAACCAGCCAGGUGUUCACUUAACGUCACUCAGGACACGAUAUUCAUGUGAAGAACUGCAGUACAUAUUUCCAAAAAACUUUCCAGAGUGGCCGUCACGUCUUACAUUCCAUCUGUUCUGGGGUUAAACCUUGCGGGACAUCAAACACCUGAAAAUGUAUGGAAUGUUCCACCUUGGAUCAUCAAGCUUCUUUGUGUGCUUAACCGAUGCUGAGGAGGAAGAAUUCUCUCUGCCCUUCAAGACCCUUCUGGCUGGACUAAGAAGCCAAUUGCCAUUGACAUGAGACAGACUAACAGGAGAAAACCAAAUUUAAUUUUGUGUGUGUGUGGAAUCCACAUAGACGUGGGAAUUCCAAAGGCAGUCAGGCAAAAUGAGGUAUAUGUGUGAGUUUGAAUUGAGGAGAAGGGGCGAGGGGUCUGGGACUUCAAAGCAAAGAAUGCACUUCAUGGGAAGAUAAAGAGCAAAUGUUUGUAAACGAAUGUAUACUGGGCCCUUCAGAAACAGUAGGACAGAGGACUUUGAUCACACAGCCCUUGCUAGGCUCCUCCCUCUCUACUACUCUUCAUAUCAUAACAUAGUUACCGGUAGUGAUCGCUCUCUUACUGGAGCAAGUCCUCUAUCUGAAUUCUUUUUGGCAGUCCAGUGGGGAGGUAAAGAGCUUUUUUCUGAAUUUGCUGGGUUUUGGUUGCAUUUAAGUCAAAAUGACCUUCACGCCCGAGGGGCCCAUCUUGGGUCUGCCUGCCCUUGGCCCCCAUGCUGAAUCUGUGGGCUGAAUGUAUGUAUAGGAAGGGCUUGUAUUUCACAUCUUUCACAUCUUUCUUUGUCAGAUUGUUCUUUCCUUCUCCCUUACUUUGUUUCUUCCUGAAUCACUGCCAAAGUCCUGAAUAUAGUCCCCGAAGGGUGAGAAUUGCUAACUAAGUGUCACUAUUUGGUUCAAACUAGGUUCAAAAACUCACGGGGAGCUCAGCUCACUAACUUGGCCACACCAUCAAUUUCCUUCAGGAAAGUUUAUUUUUUCCCCCUUGGGGAAUGGUUUUGCAUAUAUCUCUCUUUUUUUACAAUUUCAAAGACACACAUUGAAACAUGGAGGAUGAUAGUUGGAAAAUAGCAUUUUUUUAAUCAUCAUCUCCUUGGAGAUAUAAAAUAGCCACAGUAAAUGUGAACACUUUGUUACUUUUCUUCCUACUUAAUAUUUUUAAACACAAAAUACAAAAAAAAAUUGGCUCCUACAUGUUUAAUAUUUUUCCUCUUAAAAUCGCACAGGAAACCUGACGCUAGCUCUUGGCUAAUUUGGCCUUCCUGUUUGGCCCACCUGCAAAGAAUGCUGCAAAUGAUGCCAUGUGCCUCUGGGCAGGUGUCAAGACGAGCCUCUCCGAGCGGGGAACAUUCUAAGAAUGAUGGAUUUAUCUUCUGCGCCAUUUGUUUGUCAGAGUUAAUAAUGCCCGUGUCGUCAGGCAACAGGGCAAGCUGAACUUGGAAGGAGGUCAGGAAAUACAAGCCCGCAAUCAGCAGUCUGAAGUAUUAGAGGUCUAGUGGUGUCUGGGGAGCCAAAAAUGAGCCAAGGUCUGGGAAUCAAGACGCCAUCAUGGCAGCAGGAAGUCCACCUGCCUCUACGGACUAAAGUGCAUUAAGACCAACUUCAUUACGGUGUCUUGGAGGCAGCAGGAGUGUCCAAUAGUUCGGCCGAGGGCCUUCGGCUGCGUCCUGCCACUUGCCACCUGCUGAUUUGGAGCAGACAAUUUUGCUUCUCAGAGUCUUAGUUUUCUCAUCAGUACAAACGGGGACACUGCCAGUGUCAGCCUCAGCGGGUUAUUGCAAAAGAACACUAAUGGGGAUGUGGUCCCUGAGAUGUGUCCAGGGAAUAGUAAGCACUCAAUACAUCCAGCUAGUAUUUUUGUGUUAUCAUCUUGAGGAAGUACUUUGACCAUUGAACUAGACGAUAUCCGUGAAGCUCCUGGCAGAGAGGGGUUGGCCAUGGUAAGUGCUAAACUGAUGAGAGCAGUUAGCAUCAAUACCAAGGAAACGUGAAUGUCAUCACGAAACACGACAUUGAAGACCAUUUUGUGACAGGAAAGAGUGUCAUUAGGUACUGUCCCAGGGCAAAGGUAGGAUGUGAAUAAUUGCACGCACACAAAAAUCACUUUUUGCAAGUUAAUUAAUUAGGUGCACACACACCCAUUGGACGAGGUGAAGGCUGUGUACCGAAAGAGAGGCCAUAGACGAUAAUGGCUAGAGUGACAGAUUCUGAAACUACGUGUCGCGGGUUUUGACCCUCAUAUUGCCGUUUAUUAGUUGUGUGACCCUGGUGCGUUACUUAAUGUCUCUGUGCCUCAGAGACACAUCUGUUCAAUCCCCCACCUGUUAAAUCAUUGUUGGGUUUAAUGUGGUCAAGGACUGUUGACCAUCUUAGAGGAGUUAAUACACGUAAAGGGCUCAGACUUCUCCCCGGAGCGGUGAGUGACAUCUACGUGCUUGGCGAUGCUACGCGCAUGGAUUGCUUGUG